AGAAUCAACGCUGGCGGCGUGCCUAACACAUGCAAGUCGAACGAGAAAGUGGAGCAAUCCAUGAGUAAAGUGGCGACCGGGUGAGUAACACGUGACUAACCUACCUUCGAGUGGGGGAUAACCUCGGGAAACCGGGGCUAAUACCGCAUAAUGCCUUCGGGUUAAAGGAGCAAUUCGCUUGAAGAGGGGGUCGCGGCUGAUUAGCUAGUUGGCGGGGUAACGGCCCACCAAGGCGAUGAUCGGUAGCCGGCCUGAGAGGGCGCACGGCCACACUGGAACUGAAACACGGUCCAGACUCCUACGGGAGGCAGCAGUGGGGAAUUUUGCGCAAUGGGGGAAACCCUGACGCAGCAACGCCGCGUGGAGGAUGAAGUCCCUUGGGACGUAAACUCCUUUCGACCGGGACGAUAAUGACGGUACCGGUGGAAGAGCCCCGGCUAACUUCGCGCCAGCAGCCGC
Molecule: ribosomal RNA, 459 nt
Filed under: uncultured bacterium
Lineage: Bacteria
Description: SSU rRNA
Rfam family: Bacterial small subunit ribosomal RNA
Source: RNAcentral